Molecule: ribosomal RNA, 254 nt
Filed under: uncultured bacterium
Lineage: Bacteria
Description: partial 16S ribosomal RNA
Rfam family: Bacterial small subunit ribosomal RNA
Source: RNAcentral
GACAGAGGGUGCAAACGUUGCUCGGAAUCACUGGGCGUAAAGGGCGUGUAGGCGGGAAGGAAAGUCAGAUGUGAAAUCCCCAGGCUCAACCUGGGAACUGCAUUUGAAACUCCCUUUCUUGAGUGUCGGAGAGGAAAGCGGAAUUCCUGGUGUAGAGGUGAAAUUCGUAGAUAUCAGGAGGAACACCAGCGGCGAAGGCGGCUUUCUGGACGAUAACUGACGCUGAGACGCGAAAAGCGUGGGGAGCAAACAGG